This is an RNA transcript of Dicentrarchus labrax (European seabass), 11110 nucleotides long. It is a transcript of the gene named v-maf avian musculoaponeurotic fibrosarcoma oncogene homolog a (paralog a), with no coding region annotated. Lineage: Eukaryota; Metazoa; Chordata; Actinopteri; Moronidae. The transcript has 4 exons. The record is from RefSeq and is a predicted model, not a curated record.
CAGCUACAAUGCUCUUAAACUCAUCUGCUGUGUGAUCCCUCUAAAAAAUCGCCCCACCAGUCAGCGGCUUAUAACGUGCGUGGCUACAUUCACUCCCUUUACUUUCGGCUUUUCUCCCUCUCCGCUUGCGCAAUGUAUUCAUGAGGAAACCGUAAAGUGUUAAAUGUUUGAAAUACAAAACCGCCGAAUUUCACAUGCUGAAAAAGGACUCCGCUACUCGUGCGCGCGGCACUGGUGUGUCUGUGCAAUAGACUCUGCAAAGAAAAACUACUCUCACACGCCUGCAAGUCCGUGGCUGCAAAAAAGGACGCUGAAAACCUCAUUUUUCAGUUUCAAGACAAACGUUUAAAAAUCAAAACUGGCUCACGUUUUUCCCAACCAACCCAGUUUGACAGCUGCGCUUCACCCCGUUUGGAGGACUGUCAGCAGCAAGAGGAUGGCAUCAGAGCUGGCAAUGAGCAACUCCGACCUGCCCACCAGUCCCCUGGCCAUGGAAUAUGUUAAUGACUUCGAUCUGAUGAAGUUUGAAGUGAAAAAGGAGCCGGUGGAGCCCGAUCGCAACAUCAGCCAGUGCAGUCGCCUUAUCGCCGGGGGAUCCUUGUCUUCCACCCCGAUGAGCACGCCGUGCAGCUCGGUGCCCCCUUCCCCAAGCUUCUCGGCACCCAGUCCGGGCUCGGGGAGCGAGCAGAAGACACACAUAGAGGAUUUCUACUGGAUGUCCGGUUAUCAACAGCAGUUGAAUCCAGAGGCGUUGGGCUUCAGCCCCGAAGACGCAGUCGAGGCGCUGAUCAACAGCAGUCACCAGCUCCAGUCCUUCGAUGGCUAUGCCAGGGGCCAGCAGUUUGCUGGCGCAGCCGGAGCAGGAGGCACCAUGGCCGGGGAGGAGAUGGGGUCCGCCGCGGCGGUGGUGUCGGCAGUUAUCGCUGCGGCAGCCGCUCAGAACGGAGGGCAGCACCACCACCACCACCAUCACCACCACAGCAGCAGCCACCACCAGGCACCCGGCGUCCAGUCCAACGGCACUUCUGGUUCAAUUCACCCACACAUGCGCUUGGAGGAUCGGUUUUCGGACGACCAGCUGGUCAGCAUGUCAGUGCGGGAGCUCAACCGGCAGCUACGGGGGGUCAGCAAGGAAGAAGUGAUCCGAUUGAAACAGAAGAGGAGGACCCUAAAGAACAGAGGCUACGCUCAGUCCUGCCGGUACAAGCGGGUCCAGCAGCGGCACGUCCUGGAGGGAGAGAAGACGCAACUUAUGCAGCAGGUCGAUCACCUAAAGCAGGAGAUCUCCAGGCUGGUCCGGGAGAGGGACGCGUACAAAGAAAAGUAUGAGAAGCUCAUCAGCAACGGCUUCAGAGAAAAUGGAUCGAGCAGCGACAACAACCCUUCAUCCCCGGAGUUUUUCAUGUCAUCGAGAAAAUUCCUCCAUCUGUGAUUUCAAGCCCCAUUCCUCCGUGCCCUUGGCUCUCUGAGACUGGUGUGUUGGGUCCUGAGAAAGUCAACUGGCAGAUCUGCACUGGCCCCUCUGCCAGUAACCUGCCAUACAGCCCUCAGGCAACCUUCCAUGCAACACAAAUAACCCAACGACUGAGCAGUGAUGACGUCAGAGCGGCUGACCAAUCGCACGAAGACACCUACAAAGCACAACAUUCAAAAAUGAUUUCACAGAAGAACAGACGAGACCUGCUGAAAUCCCUCAAAAUCCCUACAGUGAAAUUCUUGAAAGCCUCUUACUACUCCUGUUUCCCUCCCUGAUAUUUUACCUCCAGCUUUUUUCUACGAAACACGAAAAACAAAAAAAAAACUAAAAACAAAAAACAAAACAGACAGACUCAUGCUUAUGAGACGGUUGACAACGCCAGAUAAAUACACUGGAUGGACUAUUUUCUCUUUGGCGGGAAGAUCAUUGAUGCAUGCUUCUGUAAAUAGAUCAUACAACCCUAGUCUUAUCCCUAAUAUAGGAAACAUACCGAGUCGCUCUCACCAAAUUCAUAAACCUUCAUGACUGUUCAAUAUUUUCCAUGACUCAGUAUUCUUACCUCCUCAGAGACCAUGUAAUUAUCAUUUCCAAUAUCAUUUCUCUACUCUUUGGAGUUACUUGGACUGUAAAAAUUGUACUUCCUAUUCUUCUUAUUCUCUUUACAUAACGGCCUAGUCUUCCUCUCCAAUAUCCACAUUAGUACAUGUAAAUAAUGAUGAAUGAAGACAACAGCAUGGAACCAACUAUAGUGUAUAUUUACCACUCCCCUAGUAGAUCACAAAUCUCAAUAUGUGGAUAUUUCAGACAACCUUUUUAAAAGUUUAAAAUACUUGAACUUGUUUUCUGGUAGUUAAAGACAUAGUCCCAGGUAUCUGAACACUUUUCCUAUGUAUUUGAAUAGAUGCAUAAAGGCGUUAGCUAUAGACAAUGUUAUUAUUUGACUACCUUAAAAGAAUUAGAGGGCAGAAAUUUCUUUGAUAUCAUCAAUCAGUUCAACCAGGAGACAAACGGUCAAACCGAGAAAAAGCAGGCAAUACUCCCAAGCCAUGAGCCUACCUUGGCACUUAUAAAUAUUAUUUUUAGCAUUUGAUAUUUUAUUUUAUAUGAUUGUUUACAAUUUUCUCCCAAUAUCUACCUACUGUAUUUAUUCUUUCCCAUGGCAAUAAUUGCCCUCUCCCUCCCCAUGAGCGGGUGGUAACUGCUGUAGCAAAGCUGCUGUCAGCCUGAGAGGGCCUCUUUUUUUAUUUGCAUGGUUUGAAACGGCGCUCCGAUCCUGAGCCAACACAUGAGGGAGCACCUCACUGAUCGCAAUGUAGACAUGAGAACUUUGACCUCCAUCUUCUAUGGACUAUGAAGAUAACCAAAUGGACUGACAGAUAAUAUGCCAAGCCAAUGAACAGACAACCUCAAAGGUUACCCCAUCCACUGGUGAAGACUGAAAAACCUUUGCAUGGACAACAGGGAAAAUACUAGGUUGUUGAACACCUCAUCACCACCACCGUGCAUCCUCUACCUCAUACUCAGUGUGUGUUGUGCAACCCAGAAAAUCAUGACUUACAGUGACCCCUCUACUGUCCCCACAGUCUACUUGUCCGCUGCAUGUCCCUAGAGCCUCAUGAGGAGAGUGUGACUCAGCGUUGAAUGCUACUGAUGGACGCACAUGGCAACGGGGAAAACAAAACAAACACUUGUUCACCUUGACACAAACAAACUCACACAUACAAGCGCAUGCAUACAGAUGCACAAUCAUACACAGCACCACUCAAAUAUGUUGCUGUAUAUAUGUACAGUAUAUCCACUAUUUAUAGUCUCAGAUGCUGUACUUUGCAUGUUUGACUUGUAGAUGGAACGUGAUCAUUAUUCAUAGAAGAGGUUGUGCAGGUAGGCCUAGUCACUGGAUUGACUUUCUAAAUCAAUGCAAGCUUAACAUCUCCUUACUUUGAUUUGAGAAAAUGCAUCGUAACAUGACAGAAAUAGUUUUACCGCCCCGUUCCCAUUAUGAAAGAUCCCCUUUGGCCAAACAGCAGUGCUGAUAGGUUUUAAACUCUUUGAAGGGACACAUAACCUCGCCUUUGAUGUCAGACAGAACCUGGCCACAGUGAGCGCGGAUAGGAGAAGAGAGAAGGGAAGGCAAAAUGGGGCGCUCCAAUUAAGUGGCAGUGCACAAAGUGGCAUGGGGCAUCCUGCCAGCAACUGUCCAUUCAUCCUAUGUCAAAGGGAUUUGCACAUCUCAAUGAGUCUACGCACUGCCAGAGAAGUCCGAGAACAGAGCAAAGAAAGAAAGCGAGGCUCAGGAGAAAGUAUGAAAGAGAAAAAUACUAUUUUGACAAAAAUUUAAGGUUGUACUGAGCUUAUGCGUUUUAUUAAGUAUUCUCCUGGUCUUUCCACCUAUAGAAUAUUAUUUUCUGUCCAGCAGCCACCUUGGAGAGUUUAAUUACUCCUUAACUUCAAACUGUUAAAGCGUCAUACAGCUCUCUGGGCUGUCAUGACCUCACGUCCUGUCUGAGGUUAAGUUUGUGUUAAUGAGCAUGGCCCUUAGCUCAACCAGAUGUUCAGCUUUGUGGUUAAAUACUUGUAACCCUUCUAUCCCAAUGAUUCUUCAAUGCCUGCCCACUACAGCUGUACUAGAAAUUAGAAAUUAGAUUAAAACUCGUGUGUUUUUACUGAAAACAAUAAAACUGAUCCAACUCUUGUCAGUGAAUCCUAUAUGCUGUACCAAGAAAGAUUUUGUCAUUUUAGAAUACAGGCUCUGUAGAUGACUUCAUUUGUGCAGUCAAUUUAUAUGAAGAAAUCUUCCUAAUUUAAAUACUGUCAGAGCACACUGAAUCACAUGAGGGUAUUUACAGUCAACAUGUAAACAAACUAGAAAUUAGGACUUAUGACUUAGCCAUGAUUAGUUAAAGAAGAUUUAAAAUACAGGAAGGAUGAAGGUGUCACUCAAAUAUGAGACGUUGUAUGUGGUAGGAAACAAGACAUUGAGCAAGUGCUGAUCUUCUCUGAGCCUCAACGCUUUCUACUUUCUUAGAAGUCAAACAAAGCCCCAUUUCUGCGCAGCUGCAGGCAAUGUGUGACAGACUGAUUUGUUUUUCUAUGCGUUUGAAUGCAAAUACUGUGUUGUUCUGCCCUGACAGUCAGGCAGCAUGUGCAAGUCUAUCUGGCAAUGACCCUGACCAGGGUCAGUACAUGUACAUAAACAUGCAUAGAUGCACAUGUUCAUAUAAAGAAUGUGUGAAAGUGCACAAAAAUGCAUAGAAGCGCAUCCUUGCUCUUACUCUCUCUCUCUCUCGCACACACACACCAUGCUAAUCUAAACAGCAAGGCUGUAUGUAAACAGAUCGUCUACAUAAUGGGAUUGUUCAGUGUGCAAACAAUAAGCUGUUAGCGUAAUCACAGGUCAAAGAUAUAUUACCCAGAGGGCCACGCUGUAGGUAUAUUAACAUGAUGGAUAUGUGGGAGAGAGGAGGGGGGCAGGGAUACGAAGGCUAUAGAGCGCUACUGAUUCAGAUUUACCCCCUAUUGGGCCCCGUCCGCCGCCUUUCUCUCUUCUACCUCCCUCGUAUGGGCCCCACUUAAUCAGCCUUCCUCAUUCUACUCUUGCUCCUUCCCCCUUCAGAGACACUAGGUUCCUACCUGUCUUUACCAUUUGUCCGCUCUAAGACCUCACCCCUGCCUUUUUCAUUCACUCCGUCCUCUUCCCAUUUCGGCAAAGCAGUCCAUCAAUCUCUGUGGUCAGUGUGAGAGCAGGAUUAAGCAAAGAGGGGUCUGAUCAUAUUGGGCCACUGAGGUGCUUCACCCAUGAUUAAUACAUAAACAAGAACGUGGAAAGAGCAAGGACAGAAAUACAGCAUUUUUUAGCAUCGAUUUAGAGAUAUUCAUAUGUUUAUAUUUCUAUGAACAAUGUGAUAAAUAAAACAGCUAUACAGUACAUCUACAGACCCAUCCCAUUAUCUGUACUUAACCAUGUUGAAAGCACCAUGCUUGAGUGUCUCAACAAGUAGCAGAAUACAAGUGCCAUGCCAGUCGAGAUAAAUCCUGUGUAGCUUACUCCAUUGCACAUACAGCUUAUUAACUUAUCUCUGCUUUAUUUGAUUACCAUCUAGCCCAUUCUCUCAACUGGUUAAUAAGUCUAUGUCCUCCUGACUAAACACUCCAUUAGUGUCAUCACUGGCUAGCUUGUGUGUGCACUGUGUUCGUCUGUGGACCACUGAAGCAGAUACACACUGGGGGCCAAGUGACAGAGUAAACACACAGGCAGAACACAGGGGAGAAAAACAACCUGUAAGACAAACAAUAGGUACACAGGUGACCAGUUUCAUUAUGAUCGCAAUAGCCAAGACCCUCUGCCUCAUGGACGUUUGGAUAAAGAUGUGGUUUAAGAUUUUUGUAUGAACAAGCAAUUAAAUUUUAACAACGCAGUCUUUGAGAUUGACUUUGAGAAACAUUUUUGGAUAGGGAAGGAACUGGAAGGAAGGAACUGGGUAAAACUCCCAUAAUUUCAGUGUUUCUAUGUCUGAAUGGAGAUGAAACGGUAGUGCUUUAAUCAUCAGUCCAAAAGAUUAACAGCAAUAUAAUAUAAUAUAUAAUGUAAGGGAUAAUGCCCGACGAGGUGUCCAUUAGUGUCCAUUAGUCGAGACAACCGCCUGUGUGUCAUUAUCCAACUUAUACCAUGGUCACUGCCAAAGGAGAAAAAAAAAAAGAUUAUUAUUAUUUAUUUUUUUAAGUUUCUGUUUCCCUGGUAACACCUGAGGUAAUACCUGUACAAAUUAUUACCAUCCCAUAAGGUUCUAAUGCAAUGGAAACGUUGUUCUCUCCUCCGGUAAAUAUGACAAACCAUAGAUAUGAUUUGGCAACAGGAGAUAUUUCUAGCUCAUAGAGCACUUUGGCACAGCUACAAGACGUUAUACUUGCAACAUUCAAAGUCAAUAAAACUGCUUACGGUCGAGAAACGGUAAAUAUAAUUUGACAGUAUGUUCAACAACAAAAGCAGCUAGCUAUCCAGCCAUGUCACUGUCCCCAAAUAACAUCAAGACUUUCACGAACAAUAGGGCAUGUGUACUUGCGGCCUGAAGUAGCGGGCUGAAUAGCGGACGGGAUGCGGGAGGAUAGCUUCCUCCCAGUAUCAGUAAGUUCAGAGGGGCAGUGUAGGGGUUUGAUCACUACACUCAAUGUUGUGAUAUAUUUAUGAGACAUACAGAUUUUGUUUUCAUUCAAUGCAUUCAUUUAGAAUGGUAAACAGACAGUUUCACUGAAACUACUUACUAGGUGUCCUAAAUCAGGAAUUAAUGGACACCCAGCAGCCAAUCAGAAUCGAGUAUUCACCCAGACCAUGGUAUAAUAUAUUAUGUAUUAUAGUAAUAACUGGUAGCCAUAGCAAAAACCUAACAUAGGGGUAUUACAUCGUCCGGCAGACACCUGUGUGUAUAUGAGGACAUUGUUAAAGAAAAUUUUGAAAAGACAGAAAAGAAAACAACAGAACAAGCAGCUCCUUCCACUCACCAACUCUAUAAUGUAGAAAUGUACGGGUGCACACACAUCAAUGCUCUCUGUUCCACUCUCUCUCACUCAGACACAUGCCCACAUAUACACACACACUCUGUUCCUCUGUGUGCCUGUGUCUGGUAGGGUGCCAUGAUUAACAGUGACCUAAAGCCAGACACUGAGGUAGUGGGAGUGGGGGGUCAAAGGUGAAAGGAUUACAGUGAGGCAACCCAUGUCAACUGCUCUGCUUUAAUCCUGACCUCCAAGCUAACCCGAGACUCUUUAAAAAUGAUUCACAUGUAUGAGCGCAACAUAUUGCGUGUUCAUCGUCGCAUCACUCAGAGAAUUACUGUGUGAGGAUUGUGUGGCUAUUUUAACUGAAAAAGAACUUUCAAAUACUUGAAAUGUAGCUUAUAAAGCAGCAUGGAUUUGGUUAUAGAGAUACAGUGGAUGAGGGUAGUUCUAAUAGCCAGACAGAAGAAAAGACAGAGCAGACCUCCUUAUGUCACACAGCUAAUGACAGGGAUGAAUUGCCUUUAAAGCCCCUACACCCACCUCAUUCUGGCCCGCGCAUAAGCUUGUGCUCUGGGUGAGCAGUUAGCCAUCAAGCCCCUUGCUGAGAUGAGAUGGGCCCCCAAGAAGAUUUGGGAGGGGGGAGAUGGAGAGAAUCAGAUUAACCAAAAUGCCUCAAUUGGAGUAAAUGCUCUUGGCUGACCUCAGUGUAAUACCAUUGAUAAAUGCUGUAAACCAAAUCUUUAGCAUCUGAUUAGAUAAUGGAGGAAAACACAUCCUUUUAGCAACCAUUAGCUGUGGCGAAACAGCCCAAACCUUCAACCUAAGGGUUGUAUGUGAAUGUAUCAAAACACAAACAAGUUUGUUCAAAGCAGCAGGGAAUUUUACAAAUACUCCAGUUGCCAUUAUAGAAAUAAAUAAAUAGGGAAAUAAUAAAUCGCCAGAAGCUGUGGACAGGUGGCAUUUCAGCCUGCACCGUUUAGCUGUGCAGUCUGGUUUCUGACAGCUUGAUUUAGUUUCCUGCACCUGAGCCAGAAAAGAGAGAAAAUUAACGGCAGGAAAAACAGCUUAACUAGAUUCCAAUUUGCCUGCUUUGAAACACAAUUGAUGAAGCUAAUGUAUAUAGAAAACACAGAAUGGACUAUAUGGUAGCCGUCCCAAGCUUAUUGUGAUCAUGCAAACUGCGCACUCAUUUAGGGUCAGGUACAUGGGGAAGGUGAUUUGAUUUAUUCUGAUUCUGCCAUCUGAGCCUGGGUCUGUUUUGAGGGGGAAGGGGGUGGGGCGUUAGGGUUUGUCUUUAGGGUGUAGAAGGGAGAUUAAAGUGGCUCGAAGGGAGAUGCUAGGAAACAUGCUGUUGUCCCUGCUGUGAACAGGGUGUAAUCCUUCAGUUUCAGAGAAGUAAAAGUUUGUCGAGUCCAGAAAGUUACAAAUACGUCCCUUCUGGGCCCCCUACGGAGCAGAGAGUGCGAGACAGCAGGGGGUAACCAUAUGCUAUCAAAGUGUUCUUCAAAGCUCCCAUCUUUAGUCCACUAAAUUAUCCAGUAUCAUCAAAUACACCUGACAAAAAUAGAAGAAACAUAAGUAUGCAGCUCAACUUACAUACCUUAAAAAUAUGUUUUAAGCAAUGUGUUGCCUUUGAAAGUGAGGGGACUUUUUUUUUUUACUGGAAUGACUUUGUUUAAACAGUAGCCAUGUCCCAGUGGUGUGGGUCAGCUCAUGAUUUUGUAUUUACAUGCGUUUAAAAUACUGCUGCUGGUGGGCAAUUAAAAAUUUAUGAUUCUUAUCACAAUGAGCCCCUUCUCUGUUACCAGAGGUUAAUUUGUGCUCGCCCCUCAUUUCAAUUGUACUGUAGUAAAUGUCCACAUUAUUUCCCACAUGGGCCUGGAUGAGGGGUUUGAUUAUCCAAAGGUAGGCCUUGGUUGGCUCUGUUAUUGUCAGAGGGGUCGUAAGCCUCGGUAACGGCUUCUAGGGUCUUAUUGCUAUGGCGAUCAGCCUCUUGCCACUUGGCCUCUGUGACCCCAGUCAGAGAUAAGCUUUAUGGGAAAGCACAUUAACAUGCUACUGCAGUCACCCUGCUCCUUUAUCAAAGGCACUUCUGUGAAAUCAAGUGUUUAUGGACCCCCAGUGAGGGUAUAGGGCUGCUGAUUGCCUAUAUUAGAGGUUGCGUGUAAAUGAGGUAGAGGUGGACACUGGACCUGCAGUAGUCGGGAUGUGAUACUGAUGUUAUUUUCACUAAAUGAGCAAUUUUGACGUUUGACUUUAACGACUGCAACGCCCCAUGAGUAGGUCACAAGCCCCUGGAUUACAAAUAUUGUCUGCAGUCUAAAUAUAUCCAUGUCUUCCAUUCUUUCUACAAAAACUGACAUGACCAUAACCAUAAGAGAAGUACAGUGUGCAUAUAGAUGUGUUUUAACAUUAUAUUUUGAAGUUAUUCAUUCUAGUAGCUGUAGGUAACAACUUUUACUAUUACCGUUUUCUCCUUUGUGUUACAUUGGUCCUGUUAAAUUGUCCAAUUAGUGGACUCUUGCACAUGUGUUGCGUUGAUAUGGGCAUUUUCCUGUGGCUAUGAGCGACACCAAGAUCAAAAUAAAUAAAUAAAUACGUAGGUGUCAGUAGUGUGUGCCUGCUUACAGCCUGAUCACUGGUGAAAGAUCUUUUCACUAUGUCUGUAAUGAUGGAUGGUGAUAGCCCUGUGUCUUUGUACACAUCAGGGGGCCCUACUGUUGUCACUGGACAGAUAGAGGGAGUGAGAAAGAGAAAGAUGUAGCCGCAGCUUAAUGUCCUUCUCUGGUGCUGUGCAUGCUCUUUCCUAUUUGCUUUUCCCUUCACGGCACGGUUAACAUCGUAAAUUAACCUUUCCAGGCCCCCUGUGCUCAGACACUGGUGUGAAAUACAGACAAAGGGAAAAAAAAUAGAUCUGUAUUAUGCAAUGCAGUAGCACCGGUCGGAGACGUAGCCUGUUACAGGAUUGAGCUAUUCCUUUUUCAGCGAUAGGGAAUAAAACAACACACUUUGUCCAGUCAAGCAAACAUUCUAUUUUAUGUGCAUGUCCUGUGUACUCUGCAAAUCAGUAUGAGGCUGCUUUUUGUUCUCCAUCCUAGAAAUGUAAAUGAAACACAUGAAAGAAAAUGUAUUGUAGAUGCUUCUCUUCUUAGUUCGACUCUGUAAAUAUGAUGUAAAUACCAAACAGCUAUGCAUGCUAAUAUACAAGCAAUUUGUUCAGGUACUUUUGUAAUCCAGACUUCUCAUAUGGCAUGUAAUGACAAAAAAAAAAUCAAACAUGAAAAACAUAACAAAUUGUGAACACGGAUAUGGUUUGUAAACGACUUCAAAACUGGAAAAUAUAUGUCUUUGCUGUUAAUGUUUUCUUACUGAUAACUAAUGCAUUGGCCUGCCAUUUACUACAGUGCUCUGCUCAUGUUACUUGUUAUCUUUUUUAUGUUUCAUAAGGUAGGGCUGAGGCAAAAAGGACCAUAAAUCCCUGGUUUGUGGAAUAGUCGGGUUAGAGAAUAACAUGAAGGGAAGGAUGGCAGUCUGACCACGCUCUUUGUCGUUUUUUCAUUGCCUCUGCACGUUCACAUGCAUACACUUAACAAUUAAUUACAUAUCCUUAGUGUCUAACACAGCCAAUAAAAUGCCAUGGCAAAACUGUUGCUAAAAGCAGUAGAAACUGGGCUGCCAUUUGAGUUAUCACACCAAAAAGACGAAUCACCAGCUUUAAAGUGUGCUGUUAUUUUAAAAUGGCAUACAUUUGUGUCUGAUAAAUGAAUGCAAAACCAUUAAACAACCUAUGAAGCUGGUAUAACAAGCAAUUUUGACUCAUUCCAAAUUCUCCAAAUCAUGAUUUGCAAGGGAAAGAGAUUUUGAAAACUUUGACAGUUUUUUUUCUAAUACUAUGUCCGGUGAAAACAAUGAUUGUCUAUAUGCCAAAUUUGCCUCUGCCCUAGCAACUCUAAUGUGACAUUUUAUGAAGAUAGAGAUGGAGGAAGUAGGGAGAAAUCUUUUUGGUUUCUAAGAGUGUUUAUUUUCAACCAUGUUAGAACCAUGUUAAACCCCAAGGCGCUCAUGGUAGAUGGAAGUGUCUAAUUUUUAACCUGUGCUAAAGAUAUUUUAAAUUUAAUAAAUAAUUAUUGUAACAAGAAA